Molecule: ribosomal RNA, 478 nt
Filed under: uncultured bacterium
Lineage: Bacteria
Description: partial 16S ribosomal RNA
Rfam family: Bacterial small subunit ribosomal RNA
Source: RNAcentral
GAUGAACGCUGGCGGCGUGCUUAACACAUGCAAGUCGAACGAGAAGUGAAGACGGAAACCUUCGGGCGGAAGGCUUUAUUUCGAGUGGCGGACGGGUGAGUAACGCGUGGGUAACCUGCCUCAUACAGGGGGAUAACAGUUGGAAACGACUGUUAAUACCGCAUAAGACCACAGCACCGCAUGGUGCGGGGGUAAAAACUCCGGUGGUAUGAGAUGGACCCGCGUUCGAUUAGCCAGUUGGCGGGGUAACGGCCCACCAAAGCGACGAUCGAUAGCCGAUCUGAGAGGAUGACCGGCCACAUUGGGACUGAGACACGGCCCAAACUCCUACGGGAGGCAGCAGUGGGGAAUAUUGCACAAUGGGGGAAACCCUGAUGCAGCGACGCCGCGUGAGUGAAGAAGUAUUUCGGUAUGUAAAGCUCUAUCAGCAGGGAAGAAAAUGACGGUACCUGAGUAAGAAGCCCCAGCUAACUACGUG